This 451-nucleotide ribosomal RNA is filed under the name uncultured bacterium. Its description in RNAcentral is "bacterial SSU rRNA". It matches the Rfam family "Bacterial small subunit ribosomal RNA", at positions 340 to 786 of the family's 1533-position model. The record is from RNAcentral.
UACGGGAGGCAGCAGUGGGGAAUAUUGCACAAUGGGCGCAAGCCUGAUGCAGCCAUGCCGCGUGUAUGAAGAAGGCCUUCGGGUUGUAAAGUACUUUCAGUCGUGAGGAAGGUGUUAAGGUUAAUAACCUUAGCAAUUGACGUUAGCGACAGAAGAAGCACCGGCUAACUCCGUGCCAGCAGCCGCGGUAAUACGGAGGGUGCGAGCGUUAAUCGGAAUUACUGGGCGUAAAGGGCACGCAGGCGGUUAAUUAAGUUGGAUGUGAAAUCCCCGGGCUUAACCUGGGAAUGGCAUUCAAGACUGGUUAGCUAGAGUCUUGUAGAGGGGGUAGAAUUCCAUGUGUAGCGGUGAAAUGCGUAGAGAUGUGGAGGAAUACCGGUGGCGAAGGCGGCCCCUGGACAAGACUGACGCUCAUGUGCGAAAGCGUGGGGAGCAACAGGGAUUAGAUACC